CCCGCCCUUUUCGGAGCGGGUUCAGCCAAUCGGUGCCAGGAGCGGUUCCGGGCCGCCCAAUGGGCGCAGCGGUCCGCCCGAAGGUCCCGCCCACGGGACCGUCACCUCAGGAGCGGCCUCAGCUCCCCCGCGCUCUCCCCGUGCUGUGAGGCCGGGGGCAUCCGAGCGGCGGCUCCUGUGGUGCCCUCCUGCCAGCAGCAGUGCCAUACGCUUUUGUCUGUGACAAACUUUUUCUAAACCCUAUCAAUGAAAAGUUUCAUGUGUCUAAAAGCACAAAGCUUUAGUCACAGUUUCCGAAAAAGCAUAUGUAUAAAAUUAAAACUAUGCAGUGUCACUGCUUGCCGUCAGUCAGUCCCGACAAACCGUACCAAGGGCAGCGCUCCCGGCCCUUCUCCUGACAACCGGUUUGUGCUGUCACUCGGAACUUCAGGGUUCCGUCCUCGUUUUCCCCUGUCCCGUCGGUGCCCCCCGGGGCAGAACUGCGGCAGCGCCGCCUUCCGGCGCGCCCCACAGCGGGGCGCGGGCACCGCGCAGCUCUGCCUUCCGGGUGACAGCGGCCGCAAGGGUCGUCACGGGCUGGGAAAGCUCUUCAGUUCGGAAGCUGAGGUUAUGUACCUGAGAAGUCCAUGUCAGCAUUCUCAAACAGGACUAGCUGUGCACUGCAGAGAAGAUUGCACACCUGAAAAACCUUCUACUGUCCAUACAUUUGCUGUUCUACAGGCGACCAUCAGGCACAUGCACGACUUAUGGAGCUGUUCAGCAAAUGCUGGGCUUAAAAAACUAGAGCCAGCCAGAGCAGUUUCUGUCCUGAGGAUGCUGAGAAGGAGAAUUCCUAGCAGAGUAACUCUGAGAAACAUGAUUAUCUUCGUUAGGCGGUGCUUCAAACUGAAAACCUAGGUUAAAAAAUUAAACAUAUUUUAUAAUCUCUGUAUCUGAUUGAAUCCCGAUCUAGUGAAGAUAUUUUUCCUGAUUUGAAUGAUGUGCAAUUGUUUCUAAAAACGGGUGUAGGAAAACACAAUUGUUGCAUGCAAAAAGGCAAUAUAUCCUGUCAAAAGAGAUUAUUACUUACUGUGUUUUCUUCUAUAAUUGAGAUGUAAUAGCUGGAGCAGACAGGCUAGCAGAGAGAAAUCACAGAGGAAAACUGAUGAAAGCUUAGAAAUGCUCUGAAACUUUACCAGGCUACUUUUGUCGCUUCACCAAACUGCUGCUCUCUGAAGCACUUUAUAUAGUGAGUGGAGUAUUUGUUCUGUGCUGUGAUAUUUCUGAAAAUGCAGUCUGAUGUGUAUUUAAAUUCCUUGGAAACUUAGUGUGCUUGUGAGAUAACAAAGACAACAAAAACGUGAAAACCGCACACAUCUGUUGCUGCGUUCGUUUCUACGUAUAAUGCAGUUGUGCAGGGAAUUGCGUGUUUCUUCUUUUAUUUUUCUGCUGUGGUGUUAACGUUGUUCCUUCUAAAAACGAGUAGCUGUAAUGGUUUUUUUUUUUUUUGAGAAGGGAAAGUCCCAAGCCUUUUUACUGUUAUCUGGUGCAGUGUAACAGAAAAGAACUGUAUUCCUGGCCUGUAGUAACAGCCAUGUCUCUCAUCUUUGCCCUUAAGUGUGCUUCCUCUCUUCUACAUUCUCUCCUGGGCUCUGUUCUAUCAGAUUUUGUUGUCCUGUUUGUGGAAUGAUCCAAAUAUUGAAAGAAAAUCAUUUCUGAAACAUGUCCAUGGUAUCAGCUGACUUGGUAGCGCCGAGAAAACUGGUAACUGUGGUAGAGCAGCUGAGAACGAACGGAGGCAAUGGGCAGAAGCCCCACUGCAACAAAGCUGGAUUAAGUUCUUGUAUGGUUAGAGCUCCGUCUUGACUUUUGUCUGAGAGCCUGCUGACAGAGAACACCAAGUGGCACAAAGAUAGUAGGCAAUGAUGAACCACUAGAGAGCUUCUGGCUCCUAACAGAAGCCCCUUGCAUUUUUGUGGUACACUGUGGAUUCUGACCCCAGAAUCAGCCGUUCCUGGGGUCCCAACACAACAGGCUAAACUGGACCUUCCUGCUAAGUAGUACUGAAUCUUUAAGUGUUGAAACUCAUAAAAUUUAAGGGUAACUUUUAACCUCCCCAAUCAUGGAACCUAACGCCCCCAUGUGAAAACACUUUUCUGAGUACUUAGAGUUAGUGCCCUUUUUCCUUAGAAUGAAGGAUACUGAAACUCAACUAAGAGUCACACUUCGAUUUUGAGUUUCAUUGGAAGGAAUGCGGUUAUUUCAGGACUGUAUCAUCUCCACAGCUAUUAAAGCCAAGGGAAAGCCCUCCAAGAGCAUCAGAUACUGUGUUAUCACAGACUUAAAAAUGGGUAAGGUACUGGGAAUAUAAGGCAGCCUUUUCAGUUUUCCAGUUACGAUUAUCUUAGUAGAAAUGGAAAAUAAAAGAACAUACCAUGUAAUAACUGUGUAAUCUCAGAUGGAACUCUUUGAAUGCAAUGUUAAGUUUUAGAUGACUUGAUUUUUUUUUUUUUGGUUAAGGCUACAAUGCUUUUAAACAAGAAAAGGAAUAUUGUGUACAUCAGUGGGUGUACACAGAAAGAUAAUUUCUGUGUUGCUGUGAGAGAAAAUAGGAUGUUAGUGCACAGAGCUACCAAAAUAAGGUUUG
Long non-coding RNA from Numida meleagris (helmeted guineafowl), 2626 nucleotides. RefSeq lists it as uncharacterized. NCBI's taxonomy places the organism in Eukaryota, Metazoa, Chordata, Aves, Galliformes, Numididae. The record is from RefSeq and is a predicted model, not a curated record. The transcript is spliced from 3 exons.